CUACGGGGGGCUCCAGUGGGGAAUAUUGGACAAUGGGGGAAACCCUGAUCCAGCAAUGCCGCGUGUGUGAAGAAGGCCUGCGGGUUGUAAAGCACUUUCGGUUGGGAGGACUGCUUCUAGCACUAAUAUUGUUGGAAGUUGACGUUACCUUCAGAAGAAGCACCGGCUAGCUCCGUGCCAGCAGCCGCGGUAAUACGGAGGGUGCAAACGUUAAUCGGAAUUACUGGGCGUAAAGCGCGCGUAGGCGGCUAGAUCAGUCGGGUGUGAAAGCCCCGGGCUUAACCUGGGAACUGCAUCCGAUACUGUCUAGCUUGAGUACAGGAGAGGAGAGUGGAAUUCCACAUGUAGCGGUGAAAUGCGUAGAUAUGUGGAGGAACACCAAUGGCGAAGGCAGCUCUCUGGCCUGAUACUGACGCUGGGGUGCGAAAGCGUGGGGAGCAAACAGGAUUAGAUACCCUCGUAGUC
Molecule: ribosomal RNA, 465 nt
Filed under: uncultured bacterium
Lineage: Bacteria
Description: partial 16S ribosomal RNA
Rfam family: Bacterial small subunit ribosomal RNA
Source: RNAcentral